Molecule: long non-coding RNA, 363 nt
Organism: Telopea speciosissima
Lineage: Eukaryota; Viridiplantae; Streptophyta; Magnoliopsida; Proteales; Proteaceae
Exons: 3
Source: RefSeq, a predicted model, not a curated record
GGAAGUCGAAUACUUAGAAUGCCAAUGCUUUUCACAGACGGAGAUGGACGAGAGAACUUUUGUCACCAAAGACGAGACGAGCGGGAAAACCCUCACUUCUAAUAGUAGGACAGCAAGGCUGCUGCUUCAGAGCUUUCACUUUCAGUCCCUGGUUCAAAAUCAUUCUUAUUUCCGGGCGGAAGGCAAUCAGUCGAAAGAACGAAAGUCAGAGAAAGUCGCAAGCAAGGGUGCUCGUAGAUCAGCUCGACCACCGGGAGAGAGUGCUCGUAGAUCAGGGAUUUCGAUUCCAUUCCUUUGAAUUGGACUUUGAAGCAGAAUUAGACGCGGAUUUGAAGUCGCCAGCGGACUUACCCGAUGUUUUCU